This 448-nucleotide ribosomal RNA is filed under the name Trachycardium alternatum. Its description in RNAcentral is "partial 28S ribosomal RNA". Lineage: Eukaryota; Metazoa; Mollusca; Bivalvia; Cardiida; Cardiidae. The record is from RNAcentral.
CGGGUGGACCGCAAUUCGCUCGUCCCGGGGCAUUCAGCCCGUUUCCCGGCCGGACCUCCCUGGAUUCUAGUGGCGCGCGCUCUUCGGAGUGUGUGCCCGCUGGGGAGGGUAGAAAGCCGGUGGCGAGACGGGUGCACUUGCUCCGGUCGUCGAGAGCCACGACCGGUUCCUUCGCAGGCAGUGUGGACUCCCUUGGUCGGGUUAACGGCGGGUCGAACGUUGUUCCAUUUUUUGGGCUUCGAUCGCCCGCUCCGACCGGGAGGGAAACUGGCCUGGGGACCGAGGACUGCAUCUGGCUGGCGCCUCCGUUACUCUCGAGCCGUGCGCCCUUGUCGGCCCCCUUCGGGUGUGGUCAGGCAAGACGGGCGCGAGGACGCAUCGGGAGCGAGCGGACGGCGUGCGACUGCUACGGUGCUUGUCGGUGGCGGAUCAGGUCGUAAUCCACCCG